AUUGAACGCUGGCGGCAGGCCUAACCCAUGCAAGUCGAACGAGUGGCGGACGGGUGAGUAAUGUCUGGGAAACUGCCCGAUGGAGGGGGAUAACUACUGGAAACGGUCGCUAAUACCGAAGCCCAGCGGAUGUGCCCAGAUGGGAUUAGCUAGGAGGUGGGGUAACGGCUCACCUAGGCGACGGUCCCUAGCUGGUCUGAGAGGAUGACCAGCCACACUGGAACUGCGACCAGUGCCAGACUCCUACGGGAGGCAGCAUUGGGGAAUAUUGCACAAUGGGCGCAAGCCUGAUGCAGCCAUGCCGCGUGUAUGAAGAAGGCCUUCGGGUUGUAAAGUACUUUCAGCGAGGAGGCGUUACUCGCAGAAGAAGCACCGGCUAACUCCGUGCCAGCAGCCGCGGUAAUAC
This 406-nucleotide ribosomal RNA is filed under the name uncultured bacterium. RNAcentral describes it as "partial 16S ribosomal RNA". It matches the Rfam family "Bacterial small subunit ribosomal RNA", at positions 30 to 526 of the family's 1533-position model. The record is from RNAcentral.